This is a long non-coding RNA of Macadamia integrifolia, 2440 nucleotides long. RefSeq lists it as uncharacterized. NCBI's taxonomy places the organism in Eukaryota, Viridiplantae, Streptophyta, Magnoliopsida, Proteales, Proteaceae. The record is from RefSeq and is a predicted model, not a curated record. The transcript is spliced from 4 exons.
UGCACCUUGGGAUUGGAAUCUCAAAUUCUUUUUUUUUUUGGGAAAAUGAAUUUUUUACCCAUAAAAUGGUCCGCCCUCCUUUGUUUAUUCCUCAUUCUAACUUUUCUAAGUGAAGAGUGAUUCGUGAGUGAGUGGGUUCGGGUUUCUGGAAACUUUAGGUUUUUCUUGAAGUUCUUCAUUUUGUUCUUGAAGUUCUUCAUCUUGUUCUUGAAGAUCUUCAUCUUGUUCUUGAGGAAGGAGUCAUUUGGAUAAUUUGACAUUCUUGUGGGCUUUUUGUGCAAAUUGAGAAAAUUUUUGGGGCUUCUUGUGAUUUUGAAAAAUAUGGAUGAAAGAAGAAAGAGAAAGACUUGUGGAGAAAUCCAGCUAGAGGGUUGCAAAUAGUUCUUUCCAAAGGGAUGAGGGCUUCGCCGAUUGGUACUCCAGACAGACUCUUCACAACAGUCGGAACCACAUCUACAACUCGAUAUGGUGUUCUUGGGUAAGUCUUCACAUUUCAUUCAUUAUUUUGAUCAUCUUUUAUUCAUGUUUUGUUUUUCUUUUCUUUUCUUUUUUAUUAUCUUUUAUGUUGUUUUUUUUUUAUUAUUAUUUUUUAUUUCCAUUAGCAUAAGGGGAGGGAACCACCUACCUUGGCCCUGUAUGGCCAUCUGAACAUGGUUUAGUCAUGGUACAAGAUGCUUCCUCAUAGAGUGAAGGAGAUGGCUGAUGCAUCAUACCUGUGCCGGUUAGCCCAUGUAGAGACCCGAAAGUUCAAUCCGGCACUUGUGGGGGCCUUGAUGGAGCGGUGGUGGCCAAGUACUCAUUCUUUUCAUCUUCCUGUUGGCGAAAUCACCAUCAUGCCUUUGUGCUUUUAUGCCUUAAUAGGCAUUCCAUUUGGGGGUAGACCCAUGGCCCUACCCGAGACUCCGCCUGUCAGGGAGUUUACAGACUUGACAGGCAUCACCAUUACAGCUGACCAGACACAUAUCCAUCUAGGGGAGAUCACUGCACGAUGGUGGAGAACUGGCCUAUGGGUGAACCCAGGCAACAUGGCAUAGGUGGCCCAUUCUUUCUUGCUAUUUGCUCUGGGUCAGUGCCCUUUUAGUGACCUCCGAGGGGGAGUAGACAUUCGCCUGGUGUUCUUCUUUCAGAAUCUUACGGCGGUAGAUUCUUGGGAUUGGGUUGGGGCCACCUAUACAUAUCUCUCAUGGACCCUAGACCUAUUGUGAUAUGGAGAUCGAGGUCUCAAGGGAGUGGGCUUCAUCCUCCAGGUAAUUUUCCUUUUUAUACCUUUUUCCUUUCAUUUAUUUGGAUUGCACUUUCUUACUUUAAUCUCUUCAAACAGCCUUGGUGCUUUGAGCACUGAUGGAUUAUAGCUCCCAGAUUGAGGGAUCCUCAAGCAUUUUUCUUCCCUAUAGCCACAAGGUAGGGAGAUAAUUAGGUGCUCAGGGCUUGGUGCCAUCUUCCGAGGACCACUGCUUACUCUUUGGAAUGAUCUCACUGAGGUCACUUAGAGACCAUUCUAGUGCCUCGUAUUCCCAGAUUCUGACAGAUAACAUUAGCUAGACACUUAUCCAAGAAUCAGGUCCUUUUCUGGGGCAUAUGGGGCCACAUCUAGUAUCUGGGAGAGAGAGUGUUCCCUAGUGGUUGGAUGUCGAGUCACGCCUCUCUCUCGGUCUUCCUCCACCCACUAUGCAUUGCCCAAAGAUCAUCCCUAUGGACAAGAUUGAGAGUUUGGCUGACAGAGUAUGGGAUGACUCAUUUUUUGACUGGGAUAGGGACUACAGAGCCUUCCUGGAGGAGGGGAUAGUAUGCACCCCUCUUGGUUAUGAUGGUCUAGUGGUAUGUUACCCUUUCUUGAGUAUUUUCUUCAAAUUCUUUCUUGUUUUGGUCUUGGCUGAUGCUCUUUUAGGGGAGAACACGACGUGUAGACCCUUCUAUUGUUCGGUCGCAUGUCAGUGGUGUUGAUAUUUUACAAGUAGGACCCUCUACCAAUGCAAGUGGGUCUCUCAGAGUUGCUAACAUCCCCUUCUGUGGCUUCCCCGCUUGGUGCUAUCCCAACGUGGCCAACCCCAGUCUCCCUCAUCUUCUGGAGCAGAAGAUAGAUGUAGAUGCUUCCCUUGGGCUGCCCAUUCCUUAUAAUUAUAGGUCUAUUCUGAGAUCAAGAGGAUGCAUUAUGGCCUAUGCGAGGCAAUGGUUGCGAAGGAUGGGAGGAUUGGCGCCUUGGAGAGCCAAGUUAAUUCCUAUAAGCAGGAAAUUGCACAGCAGCAUGCACUGAUUCAGGACAUGACACAGAGGCUGGAGCAAACUGGACUAGCAUCUGUGGGUUCCCCGAUACUCUAUGGAGAUGAUUCAGAUAAUGGUUCAGAUGAUGACUUUUGACCCAUAGGGAUUUGUUCCUAUAUUUCCUGUAAACACAUACACAUGUAUAUUUUCCUUUUUCUUUUUCCCUCCCCCUUGUUUG